Molecule: ribosomal RNA, 450 nt
Filed under: uncultured bacterium
Lineage: Bacteria
Description: partial 16S ribosomal RNA
Rfam family: Bacterial small subunit ribosomal RNA
Source: RNAcentral
CCUACGGGGGGCUGCAGUAAGGAAUAUUGGUCAAUGGAGGAGACUCUGAACCAGCCAUCCCGCGUGAAGGAUGAAGGGGCUCUGCCUUGUAAACUUCUUUUGUCUGGGGCGAAAAAGCUCGAUUUAUCGAGAACUGACGGUACCAGAAGAAUAAGCACCGGCUAACUCCGUGCCAGCAGCCGCGGUAAUACGGAGGGUGCAAGAGUUAUCCGGAAUCAAUGGGGUGAAGGGGUGCGUAUGCGGCUUAGGUGAAAGGCUGUGGCUGAACCAAGGAAUGGCCAUUGAUACUGAAGAGCUUGAAUGAGGUUGAGGUUGGCGGAAUGUGACAUGUAGCGGUGAAAUGCUUAGAUAUGUCAUGGAACACCGAUUGCGAAGGCAGCUGACUGGACCUAUAUUGACGCUGAGGCACGAAAGCGUGGGGAGCGAACAGGAUUAGAUACCCUGGUAGUC